AAUAUUGGACAAUAGGCGAACUCCUUAUCCAGCCAUGCCGCGUGUGUGAAAAAAGUCUUUUGUUUUUAAAGCUCUUUUAGUUGGGAGGAAGGGCAGUAAGUUAAUACUUUGCUGUUUUGACGUUACCGACAUAAUACGCUCCGGCUACUUUCGUUCCAGCAGCCGCGGUAAUACGACGGGUGCAAGCGUUAAUCGGAAUUACUGGGCGUAAAGCGCGCGUAGGUGGUUCGUUAAGUUGGAAGUGAAAGCCCCGGGCUCAACCUGGGAACUGCUUUCAAAACUGGCAAGCUAGAGUAUGGCAGAGGGUGGUGGAAUUUCCUGUGUAGAGGUGAAAUGCGUAGAUAUAGGAAGGAACACCAGUGGCGAAGGCGACCACCUGGGCUAAUACUGACACUGAGGUGCGAAAGCGUGGGGAGCAAACAGG
This 424-nucleotide ribosomal RNA is filed under the name uncultured bacterium. RNAcentral's name for it is "partial 16S ribosomal RNA". It matches the Rfam family "Bacterial small subunit ribosomal RNA", at positions 360 to 776 of the family's 1533-position model. The record is from RNAcentral.